GGGGAAUAUUGGACAAUGGGCGAAAGCCUGAUCCAGCAAUGCCGCGUGUGUGAAGAAGGUCUUCGGAUUGUAAAGCACUUUCGGCGGGGACGAUGAUGACGGUACCCGCAGAAGAAGCCCCGGCUAACUUCGUGCCAGCAGCCGCGGUAAUACGAAGGGGGCUAGCGUUGCUCGGAAUGACUGGGCGUAAAGGGCGCGUAGGCGGCGCAGAUAGUCAGAUGUGAAAUUCCCGGGCUUAACCUGGGGGCUGCAUUUGAUACGUCUGUGCUUGAGUGUGGAAGAGGGUCGUGGAAUUCCCAGUGUAGAGGUGAAAUUCGUAGAUAUUGGGAAGAACACCGGUGGCGAAGGCGGCGACCUGGUCCAUAACUGACGCUGAGGCGCGAAAGCGUGGGGAGCAAAC
Molecule: ribosomal RNA, 400 nt
Filed under: uncultured bacterium
Lineage: Bacteria
Description: bacterial SSU rRNA
Rfam family: Bacterial small subunit ribosomal RNA
Source: RNAcentral